Molecule: ribosomal RNA, 331 nt
Filed under: uncultured eukaryote
Lineage: Eukaryota
Description: partial 18S ribosomal RNA
Rfam family: Eukaryotic small subunit ribosomal RNA
Source: RNAcentral
CCCUUAGAUGUUCUGGGCUGCACGCGCGCUACACUGAUACUUUCAGCGAGUCCACCACCUUGCCUGGGAAGGUGGGGUAACCUCUGGAAAGUGCAUCGUGAUGGGGAUCGAUUAUUGUAAUUAUUCAUCUUCAACGAGGAUUGCCUUGUAAGCGCACGUCAUCAGCGUGCAUUGAAUACGACCCUGUAUUCUGUACACACCGCCCGUCGCUCCUACCGAUUGAAGUUUUCGGUGAGUUGACAGGAGGAUUUUUUUGAAACUGGUUCGCCAGUGGAUUUUAGAUCCAAAUGCCAACGAAUCGAUGGAUUUAGAGGAAGGAGAAGUCGUAACA